Molecule: long non-coding RNA, 340 nt
Filed under: Pelobates cultripes (western spadefoot toad)
Lineage: Eukaryota; Metazoa; Chordata; Amphibia; Anura; Pelobatidae
Source: RNAcentral
GUUUCCCCCAUUCCCAGCAUUGUGUAUGCCUUCUGGAAAUGUUACCCCCAGUCCCAGCACUGUGUGUGCCUUCUGGAAAUGUUCCCCCAGUCCCAGCACUGUGUGAGUCUUCUGGAAAUGUUCCCCCAGUCCCAGCACUGUGUGUGUCUUCUGGAAAUGUUUCCCCCAUUCCCAACACUGUGUGUGCCUUCUGGAAAUGUUACCCCCAGUCCCAGCAUUGUGUGUGCCUUCUGGAAAUGUUUCCCCCAGUCCCAGCACUGUGUGUACCUUCUGGAAAUGUUACCCCCUGUUACGGUACUUCCAGUAAUAAAUGUACAAACCGCCGUUUAGUGAAUGCUCC